UAAUACGGAGGGUGCAAGCGUUAAUCGGAAUUACUGGGCGUAAAGCGCGCGUAGGUGGCUUGAUAAGCCGGUUGUGAAAGCCCCGGGCUCAACGUGGGAACGGCAUCCGGAACUGUCAAGCUAGAGUGCAGGAGAGGAAGGUAGAAUUCCCGGUGUAGCGGUGAAAUGCGUAGAGAUCGGGAGGAAUACCAGUGGCGAAGGCGGCCUUCUGGACUGACACUGACACUGAGGUGCGAAAGCGUGGGUAGCAAACAGGAUUAGAUACCCUGGUAGUCCACGCCGUAAACGAUGGGCACUAGAUGUUGGGGGAUGUUGACCCCUUCAGUGCCGAAGCUAACGCAUUAAGUACCCCGCCUGGGGAGUACGGUCGCAAGGCUG
RNAcentral lists this ribosomal RNA (378 nucleotides) under uncultured Gammaproteobacteria bacterium. RNAcentral describes it as "bacterial SSU rRNA". It matches the Rfam family "Bacterial small subunit ribosomal RNA", at positions 521 to 896 of the family's 1533-position model. The record is from RNAcentral. Lineage: Bacteria; Pseudomonadati; Pseudomonadota; Gammaproteobacteria.